CCAAAGGCUCUUUUAAGAGCCGCUUAACUUGUCAAAAAGAGGGCUU
RNAcentral lists this non-coding RNA (46 nucleotides) under Podarcis lilfordi (Lilford's wall lizard). It matches the Rfam family "Histone 3' UTR stem-loop". From Rfam's summary of the family: The mRNAs of metazoan histone genes lack a poly-A tail. 3' end processing occurs at a site between a highly conserved stem-loop (modelled by this family) and a purine rich region around 20 nts downstream (the histone downstream element, or HDE). Lineage: Eukaryota; Metazoa; Chordata; Lepidosauria; Squamata; Lacertidae. The record is from RNAcentral.